This is a long non-coding RNA of Alligator mississippiensis (American alligator), 1653 nucleotides long. RefSeq lists it as uncharacterized. The record is from RefSeq and is a predicted model, not a curated record. The transcript has 2 exons. NCBI's taxonomy places the organism in Eukaryota, Metazoa, Chordata, Crocodylia, Alligatoridae.
AGUUAAAGCUGUCCAGCCCAACCGGAAAAGGGCUGUGCCAACACAGCUAAGCGCCGCGCGGCACCCCCUAGAGCCCCCCUGACUUGUGAUCAGCCAGCCACAUGCCAAAUGUCCCUAUUUUUUAAGAAAAUAUUUACCCAUAUUUCCCCCUCCUCCCCACUCAGCUAACCCUUCCCACCCCGCUUUUGGAACCACCCCCCGCCCCCGGAGCAGCACCCCACAGACUCCCAGUGCCUUGCAGCUCCUCUCCAAAAGAACCCCAAACCCCAGCCCCCUGCCCGGGAUUACACAGACAGGAGGGAUUGCAAGGAAGAAUCUCAAGGGCUGGCAGGCCCCAGACCCCCCAAUCUGCCACGCAGAGCCACUGCAGCGCUACACACAGCUCCUUCCCCAGCUUGCAAUUAGACUGAAAAUGAAAAGAACAACAGAUUCCACAGCCACAACAGAGAGAAAGGACCAAGCAGAGAGGCAGACGGCAGCUUUCAGACAGCGAAAUGCUACCGGGGUGGCUCUCUAUUGUACCACCACUGGGAUGCUGGAAGAGGAGGCAAUAGAGCUCAGCUUCUUCUGCACUGAAAAACCCAGGCCCCUUGCACUUGAAUUAAAGAGGAUUCUCCACCAGGAGUAAAAGACUUCUGACACACAGCUGAUCUGUGUGUGAUUCCAUCCAGCAGGGGGCAGCGGUGACACAGAUUGCACCACUCAGUUCAGUGCAAUGCGUGGUAUUGCCCACACUGCCUUUCACCCUGGACUGCUAGCAUUGUAGAGAGGGGCAUGAUGGCUCCACAUUGUUACUAUCCUCAUACAGAUGGAGAAACUGCAGGUCACAGAAGAUGGAAGAUUUGCCCAAGGUCACAUAGCAAGUCAUUAGCAUAACCAAGGGUAGAAUCCAGGAUUCCUGGCUCCCAGCCUGCGGUGAAGUCCACUGGCCCUACUGCAAAACUUGGAGCGAGGUCAGACGUGGUUGGCUUCAGCAGUCAUUACCAACUGGCGUAGCCUGAUGCUGCCCACAAACUGCACUGGUGCCAACAGGGGCCCUGGAUAUCCAGCACCUCUUUGCUGUCAACUCAGGUGCAAAGGCCUUGUGCCCACAGCUUGGGCCUGAUUUUGAGCUGGGCCCAAUCUGCUUUUUGGCUUCAUCUUGAAACCCUGGGCAAGUUGCCCAGACCAUGAGGGAAGCACAGACUAUUUGGUGACUUUGAAUGCAGGGACCAUCUUGAGAAUCCCAGAGCAGGUGGCCAGAACUCUGCACUGGCAGUGACACCCUAGCAGCCAGUGGGGGGCCAUACACAGGUCACCAGGAGCUCGGUUUGGUCCAGAACAUGUCUGUAGCACAGGAAGUGUGGAGUCCCUGCGUGAAGCUGGAAGCUUGCUGGGUUAAUGCUGUCAGGGACUCAGCUCCUCCUUCAGGAUUGCUUCCGAGUCACUUCCCAAUUUUCCAGGCAGAUGGCGAACGGUGCAGUUAUCCGCUGCGAGCAGUGGACAUGUGACGAGGAGACACUGGGUUUAUGGUGGGGAACUGCAUGCUUCCAUGGGGGAAGAUGGUGACACAACAGCAAAACUGGCUUAGGCGGGGGAGGAGAGGGGGACUCAUAUGAGGAAAGAUGGAUGGCAGGAACAGCUUCUUGCUGCAAGCCCAGAGCAUCCACCCUG